UCCUACGGGAGGCAGCAGUGGGGAAUUUUGGACAAUGGGCGAAAGCCUGAUCCAGCAAUGCCGCGUGUGUGAAGAAGGCCUUCGGGUUGUAAAGCACUUUUGUCCGGAAAGAAAUCCUUGGCUCUAAUACAGUCGGGGGAUGACGGUACCGGAAGAAUAAGCACCGGCUAACUACGUGCCAGCAGCCGCGGUAAUACGUAGGGUGCGAGCGUUAAUCGGAAUUACUGGGCGUAAAGCGUGCGCAGGCGGUUUGCUAAGACCGAUGUGAAAUCCCCGGGCUCAACCUGGGAACUGCAUUGGUGACUGGCAGGCUAGAGUAUGGCAGAGGGGGGUAGAAUUCCACGUGUAGCAGUGAAAUGCGUAGAGAUGUGGAGGAAUACCGAUGGCGAAGGCAGCCCCCUGGGCCAAUACUGACGCUCAUGCACGAA
RNAcentral lists this ribosomal RNA (428 nucleotides) under uncultured Burkholderia sp. RNAcentral's name for it is "bacterial SSU rRNA". It matches the Rfam family "Bacterial small subunit ribosomal RNA", at positions 337 to 757 of the family's 1533-position model. Lineage: Bacteria; Pseudomonadati; Pseudomonadota; Betaproteobacteria; Burkholderiales; Burkholderiaceae. The record is from RNAcentral.